GACGAACGCUGGCGGCGUGCUUAACACAUGCAAGUCGAACGGAAAGGCCCUGCUUUUGUGGGGUGCUCGAGUGGCGAACGGGUGAGUAACACGUGAGUAACCUGCCCUUGACUUUGGGAUAACUUCAGGAAACUGGGGCUAAUACCGGAUAGGAGCUCCUGCUGCAUGGUGGGGGUUGGAAAGUUUCGGCGGUUGGGGAUGGACUCGCGGCUUAUCAGCUUGUUGGUGGGGUAGUGGCUUACCAAGGCUUUGACGGGUAGCCGGCCUGAGAGGGUGACCGGGCACAUUGGGACUAAGAGACGGCCCAGACUCCUACGGGAGGCAGCAGUGGGGAAUAUUGCACAAUGAGCGGGAGCCUGAUGCAGCAACGCCGCGUGCGGGAUGACGGCCUUCGGGUUGUGAACCGCUUUCGCCUGUGACGAAGCGGGAGUGACGGUAAUGGGUAAAGAAGCACCGGCUAACUACGUG
Molecule: ribosomal RNA, 468 nt
Filed under: uncultured bacterium
Lineage: Bacteria
Description: partial 16S ribosomal RNA
Rfam family: Bacterial small subunit ribosomal RNA
Source: RNAcentral